GCGGACGUGGUGAAACCGGUAGACACGACAGACUUAAAAUCUGUUUCGCAUGCGCGAGUGCGGGUUCGAGUCCCGCCGUCCGCACCA
RNAcentral lists this transfer RNA (87 nucleotides) under Alphaproteobacteria bacterium. Its description in RNAcentral is "tRNA-Leu". It matches the Rfam family "tRNA". From Rfam's summary of the family: Transfer RNA (tRNA) molecules are approximately 80 nucleotides in length. Their secondary structure includes four short double-helical elements and three loops (D, anti-codon, and T loops). Lineage: Bacteria; Pseudomonadati; Pseudomonadota; Alphaproteobacteria. The record is from RNAcentral.